Molecule: long non-coding RNA, 743 nt
Filed under: Vitis vinifera (wine grape)
Lineage: Eukaryota; Viridiplantae; Streptophyta; Magnoliopsida; Vitales; Vitaceae
Description: long non-coding RNA (VVIN_LNC005542)
Source: RNAcentral
AGAGGUACCAGAACAGAAGAUUAAAGAAAAGCUUUUGCAAAGUUUCGGUGAUGAAACCCUAAGCUCUGUUAUGAAGUAACUUUCUUUCUUUCUCUCUCUCUCCAAAAACACUAAAACAAACAUCAAGAUGUUUUUCUUUUGUAAUAUGCAUGUCUUUUUUUCUUCUUUCUAAGAUUCAACCUUCAAUAUAAAUUAUUCUUCCAUGUUGCGUUGAUGAAAACCUGUUUGUGACACCUUCCAUUUCUGCAUGAACUUUAGUUGAGGUUAUAUUCGGCUUUUGUUAUUUUUAUUUUUUAAUUCUCUACUGCUUACAUGCUUCUUGUAUCCGAACAGGCGAAUUGUUCAUGCAGUUGAAUUUUGCAACAUUUUCUUAUUGUUCGGGGCUUAAGCUUCUGUUCAUUUUUUCAUUAUUAUAUUUUUAUGCUUUGUUUUUACGACUAAUCCUAUACCACACAGUGAAGUGAUCACAGAGAAUGACUGGAAAUUUGUCCAGCUUGGGCUUGCUCUAUUUUAGAACAUUUUAGCCAUUCAAGACAUCUCGUUGCAGUAGAAGGCUAGGAGUCUGCAUGCCACUCAAUUUUUAUCUCUGAGUAACCAAUUUUUGGAGCUGUUAUUCUUCAUUGAUUUAGAAGAUGAGCUGUUAUUUUUUGGGAAAUCUGUGUUAUAAUGCACAAUAGUAUGAAUUGGGAUAUGCUACUACUGAAAACAGAGCAAUCUGUUUUUGUGGUGUCCAAGCAUGAAAG